CCACGCAGAAGAAUACCAUGAUUCCAGUACAACAUUUUUUUCUCCAGUACAACUCUUUCCAGUACAACAACCACUCUUCCUUCUGCUAAUGAGAUUUGGCUCCCCCAAGAAAUGAAAUCAUCAGAGAGAUGUCUAAUGUCUUUAUGAGUUAUAACCUUUCCACUUCCAACUUUGAGAAUUAUUUUAUUUGAUUGAUUGGUAUAAUUAGGCUGUCUAGUGAAGCGGUGGCAAUUCCUUGUGCUGCUAAGCAGGAACGAACUCCAUGCUGAACUCUCACAGCCUGGGAUGGCCAACAAUGGGCUUGCCAUAGAGAAGAUGAGCUUGACCUCUGGGGAAGGUGGUGGACUCAAAAAGCAGACCUGCUUACAGUGAGCAGAAAGCAGCUGCUCAUGCGUCUUCAAUAGCUGGACACAAACUUGUAUUUCAUAAGGUCCAAUGUAAAGGAAACAGUGGUGAAGCAAGAUACUUCAUGAAUACAGAGACAGAAGAACAGACGGGAAGGUAAUUCUUCAGAAUUCCAAACUCUUGGCUUCUGUCUUAUCUCAAUGUAUAGAAUAUCUGUAGAUAUAAAAACAUAUUUUAAAACAAUAUUGACUUCAAUUAUCUUCCAGCCCAAGGGACUUGGGCUGGAAUAUUCCUUCUGUCAUAUUCCAACACUUCAGACACAUCCUUCACAUUAAGUUCUGUUUGGGUUAGGAGCUCUAAUGAGACAGCUAAGAAGCAAGAGAAUUAUCUUUAAAAGAUGUUAAAAAAUUAUAGCCAAAACGAUAAUGAUGCACCCCUCUACCAAUAAAAUAUUUGACUGUAUCUUAUUUUAUAUAGUUACACAGAUACAUAAAAGUUAGACUAAUAAAUCUAGAUUAGAACCUAAACCUUCAUAUCAGUGUCUUCAUGAAAAAUUUACAUGUUCAUUCAUGUUUAAUAUUGGUCUUCACUCUGUUAUAUGGGUUUUUCCUCUCCUUGCUAGAGAUUACAACAUUCAUGUAUACACAAUGAUGACAUAUUUUCUUAUAUGAUCUGAGAAAUUAAAAUAAUUCUAAAUCUUCAUAUAAAAACAGAAUAAAUAAUGUUUCCUUGAGGGGAAAAAUAAAUCAUAACUUCUGUUACUUUUAUUUUGCUUUGUAUGUCAUUUGAUAUUUUCUUUCAAUUGUUCUUAAUUUCACUACUCUUAAUUUUUGUGAUUAAAAACCAUUACACUGACAAAUCAGAGAUAUUUGUUUGUUCAGGUAAUCCCUAGCUGGUAAACACUAGCUGCAAUACUUGAUGCACCAACCCAAUAAAAAAAAAAAAAUCAAGUCAAAAAAUUGGAAGUUAAAACAGAGGCAGAUGUGAGUCUUGGAAACUAAAUUGUCU
Long non-coding RNA from Anas platyrhynchos (mallard), 1353 nucleotides. RefSeq lists it as uncharacterized. Lineage: Eukaryota; Metazoa; Chordata; Aves; Anseriformes; Anatidae. The record is from RefSeq and is a predicted model, not a curated record.